Molecule: unclassified non-coding RNA, 323 nt
Filed under: soil metagenome
Description: partial contains 5.8S ribosomal RNA, internal transcribed spacer 2, and large subunit ribosomal RNA
Rfam family: 5.8S ribosomal RNA (bases 1-120)
Source: RNAcentral
GAUGAAGAACGCAGCGAAAUGCGAUAAGUAGUGUGAAUUGCAGAUUUCAGUGAGUCAUCGAAUCUUUGAACGCACAUUGCGCCCUGUGGUAUUCCGCAGGGCAUGCCUGUUCGAGCGUCAUUUCAACCCUCAAGCUCUGCUUGGUGUUGGGCCACGCCCUCGCGGCCGGCCCCAAAGCCAGUGGCGGCGCCGUCCGGCUCUAAGCGUAGUACAUCUCUCGCUCUAGGGCCCGGCGGCUGCCUGCCAGAACCCCAAACUCUUAUGGUUGACCUCGGAUCAGGUAGGGAUACCCGCUGAACUUAAGCAUAUCAAUAAGCGGAGGA